UACAGAGGGUGCAAGCGUUGUUCGGAAUUACUGGGCGUAAAGGGCUCGUAGGCGGCCAACUAAGUCAGCCGUGAAAUCCCUCGGCUUAACCGGGGAACUGCGUCUGAUACUGGAUGGCUUGAGUUUGGGAGAGGGAUGCGGAAUUCCAGGUGUAGCGGUGAAAUGCGUAGAUAUCUGGAGGAACACCGGUGGCGAAGGCGGCAUCCUGGACCAACACUGACGCUGAGGAGCGAAAGCCAGGGGAGCAAACGGG
This 253-nucleotide ribosomal RNA is filed under the name uncultured bacterium. RNAcentral describes it as "partial 16S ribosomal RNA". It matches the Rfam family "Bacterial small subunit ribosomal RNA", at positions 524 to 776 of the family's 1533-position model. The record is from RNAcentral.